RNAcentral lists this ribosomal RNA (253 nucleotides) under uncultured bacterium. RNAcentral's name for it is "partial 16S ribosomal RNA". It matches the Rfam family "Bacterial small subunit ribosomal RNA", at positions 524 to 776 of the family's 1533-position model. The record is from RNAcentral.
UACGUAGGGUGCGAGCGUUAAUCGGAAUUACUGGGCGUAAAGUGUGCGCAGGUGGCCGCGCAAGUCGAGUGUGAAAGCCCCGGGCUUAACUUGGGAAUUGCGCUCGAAACUACGUGGCUCGAGUGUGGCAGAGGAAGGUGGAAUUCCACGUGUAGCGGUGAAAUGCGUAGAGAUGUGGAGGAACACCGAUGGCGAAGGCAGCCUUCUGGGCCAACACUGACACUCAUGCACGAAAGCGUGGGGAGCAAACAGG